AGACGAACGCUGGCGGCGUGCCUAAUACAUGCAAGUCGAACGCUUCUUUUUCCACCGGAGCUUGCUCCACCGGAAAAAGAGGAGUGGCGAACGGGUGAGUAACACGUGGGUAACCUGCCCAUCAGAAGGGGAUAACACUUGGAAACAGGUGCUAAUACCGUAUAACAAUCGAAACCGCAUGGUUUUGAUUUGAAAGGCGCUUUCGGGUGUCGCUGAUGGAUGGACCCGCGGUGCAUUAGCUAGUUGGUGAGGUAACGGCUCACCAAGGCCACGAUGCAUAGCCGACCUGAGAGGGUGAUCGGCCACAUUGGGACUGAGACACGGCCCAAACUCCUACGGGAGGCAGCAGUAGGGAAUCUUCGGCAAUGGACGAAAGUCUGACCGAGCAACGCCGCGUGAGUGAAGAAGGUUUUCGGAUCGUAAAACUCUGUUGUUAGAGAAGAACAAGGAUGAGAGUAACUGUUCAUCCCUUGACGGUAUCUAACCAGAAAGCCACGGCUAACUACGUGCCAGCAGCCGCGGUAAUACGUAGGUGGCAAGCGUUGUCCGGAUUUAUUGGGCGUAAAGCGAGCGCAGGCGGUUUCUUAAGUCUGAUGUGAAAGCCCCCGGCUCAACCGGGGAGGGUCAUUGGAAACUGGGAGACUUGAGUGCAGAAGAGGAGAGUGGAAUUCCAUGUGUAGCGGUGAAAUGCGUAGAUAUAUGGAGGAACACCAGUGGCGAAGGCGGCUCUCUGGUCUGUAACUGACGCUGAGGCUCGAAAGCGUGGGGAGCAAACAGGAUUAGAUACCCUGGUAGUCCACGCCGUAAACGAUGAGUGCUAAGUGUUGGAGGGUUUCCGCCCUUCAGUGCUGCAGCUAACGCAUUAAGCACUCCGUC
RNAcentral lists this ribosomal RNA (876 nucleotides) under Enterococcus faecium. RNAcentral's name for it is "bacterial SSU rRNA". It matches the Rfam family "Bacterial small subunit ribosomal RNA", at positions 26 to 873 of the family's 1533-position model. The record is from RNAcentral. Lineage: Bacteria; Bacillati; Bacillota; Bacilli; Lactobacillales; Enterococcaceae.